UGUAAAUCUAUCCCCAUCUCACUAAUGGUCAACGGUGUAAAAUGUGUUUUCUGCUCAUUAAAAGAAAAACUGAGCUGAUUUUUCCUCACCAGCUGCCUCUGAAACACACUUGGACGCCAGAUUACAAACUUGCUGGCAUAUAGUUGCUACUACUACUACUAAUUAUUAUUAUUAUUGUUAUUAUUAGUGAAAUCAGGGGCAGCAGUGUGUAGCUAUUAACUAGCCUAUAUACUCACUUAUAUUAUAACUAGCUGAGGCCUGGUUCUCAGCUAGUUAUAGGUUUAAAUUAGCCAGAUAUUUAGGCAACACCAUACCACAGCUUUCUUUCUUCAUAUUCUGGUAUACACCCAGCUGUAAAAAAAAAUAAUAAAAAAAAUAAAUGCGUUCUGACUGCCAUCUGACCAAAGCUAGACAAAUCUAUAGGCUAUGUAAUGUGAUACAUGGAUAACAUGAACUAGGCUAUAAAUAUACAGUGCUGUGAAAAAGUAUUUCCUGAUUUCUUCUGUUUUUGUGUAUAUCUCAUACUAAAUAGUUUUAGAUCUUCCUAACGAAAUACAACAUAAAACAGUGGCAACCUGAUACAGUCGAUAACACAUGAUACAGUCUUUAUUUGUUUAUUUAUUUUUAUUGAAGCAAAAAAAAAAAUGUUAUCUAACACCUAUCACCAAUGUGGAAAAACUAAUUGGCCCCUUAAACUUAAAAUCUGGUCGUGCCACCUUUAGCAGCAAUAACUGCAAACAAACGCUUCCGAUAACUGGAGAUCAGUCUUUCACUUACUUCUAGGACUAGGAUUUACUCCUAUGCUUUGGAUCAUGGUCUUGCUGCAUAAUCCAGUUGUGCUUCAGUUUCAAUUUACGGACUGAAGACCGGGCAUUCUCCUUUAGGAUUUUCUGGUAGAGAGCAGAAUUCAUGUUUCCCUCAAUUAUUGCAAGUUGGCCAGGCUCUGAAGCAGAAAAGCAUCCCCACACCAUCACACUUCCACCACCAUGCUUGGCCAUAGGUAUGAUGUUCAUUUUUGUGGAAUUUUGUGUUCAGUUUAUGCCAGAUGUAAAGGGACACCUGUUUUCCAAACAGUUCACUUUUUACUCAUCAGUCCACAGAACAUUCUCCCAAAAUGCUUUUGGCAAUUUUGGCAAAAUUCAGACGAGCUUUUAUGCUCUUCUGAGUUAGCAGUGGUUUUCACCUCGACACACUUUCAUGGAUGCCAUUUUUGCCCAGUGUCUUUUGAUAGUGGAGUCAUAAACAGUGACCUUUUUUGAUGCAAGAGAGGCCUGUAGGUCCUUUGAUGUUGUCCUUGGCUCUUUUGUGACUUCCUGGAUGAGUCGUUGCUGUGCGCUUGGAGGAAUUUUGGAAGGUCGGCCACUUCUGGGAAGAUUCACUACUAUGUGGAGUUUUUCCAUUUGGAGAUAAUGUCUCUCACUGUGGUUCUUUGGAGUCCUGGAGCCUUUGAAAUAGCUUUGUAACCCUUCCCAGACUGAUGUUUUUCAAUCUCUUUCUUCCUCAUCAUUUCUGGAACUUCUUUCAACAUUGGCAUAGUGUAUUACUGAGUAAGACCUUUUAACCAAUUUCAUGCUGUUGAAAAAGUUCUAUUUAAGUGUUGAUUUGAUUGAAGAGGGCUGGAAGUAAACAAGCCUGGUUGCGUCUAGUCCAGCUGAACCCCAUUUUAUUAUUGAAUUAGUAACUGCUGGAGCAAAUACAUUUUUACACAGGCCUAGUUGGUACUGGACAACUUUUUUGCUUCAGUAAAUAACAUUAUCAUUUAAAAACUGUAUUUUGUCUUUACUCGGGUUGUCUUUGUUUUAUCUUAGAUUUUGAUUUAAUUUCUGAAACAAUUUAGUAUGAGAUAUACACAAAAACAGAGUAAAUCACUGUAGCCUAUUAUCCAUACAUUAAUGCAAUACAACUAAGACUUCUGAUAUUACAGUUAAUAUGUAUUCUGUUUCUGUUUUUAAGUGAUAUACAAAGGCAAUGUGUGUACACAGUAUCACUUUUUAUACUAGUUAGAUUUGUCCCCCAUGCAUUGUUGCUAAGAAAAAAAAAAGUAUACAAAUUUCUUAAGCGUUGUCAUAAAUAGUCAGAAUUAAAUACUAAUCAGAAAUAGAAAUGCAUAAAUGACUACUUCAUGGUACAUUAUUAUCCUAUGGACUACGUAUAUUCAUGAAUAUGUACUAUGUGUACAUCCAUACCUCAAAGCUUAGAUAUUUAUUUGGAUGUAUUUUAUAGCAAAAAUGCUACAAAUUUCUUUUUAAAUUAAAUGUCACCAAAUUUACUAACAGCCAAUUGUCUUUCUAAUAAAAGAAACAUGUGGAUUCUUAUUCAUACCUCUUUUUGUUUUCCAUCACUUCUUAUAAUCUUUUAAUUAUUCACUUUAAGAGGAAGGUUUCGAGGAUACAACAUUAAGGCCACAUUUUAGGUGUGCAUGCUUAUUUUUUUUAUAUAGUGUGUAUUAUAUAGUGCCCAGCACCUCCUGUCUGUAAUGUUUCUAUCUAUGAUGAACACUAUUACAUUUUUUCAAAAUUAUAUGAAACUAUGAAUCACAAUAUAUUUAUAUGAAACUAUGAAUCAAAAUAUAUUAAAUGAAACUAUGAAUCAGAAUAUAUUCUUGACUACCUUACAAAAUCAGUCAUAGAGUAACACUAAUUUUGAUGACCUUAAACUGUGACCAGGCUGUUCGUGCAUGGCAUGAGCCGUUUACGAGAGAUGCCCAUUAUAAGAGCACAUCCAAAUUUUUCCUCUUGGUUAUACUGUGGCAUGGACAGUGUUUGACAUAGCUGAGAGCUGCACACGAGCAUGAAUAGUAAGAUUUACUUGAGUAGGACUAAGUGGUGAGUGUUUGGGGGCUGCCCAAAGUUAGUCACAAUUUAUUAAAUGAAAUCACAGCCAAAACAUACAAAGCAGUGUUCUGUGACAUAUAUUUCAUAUAACCAUGGAGGUCUAGAAGUCCACUACUAUAACUGCAGUUGAUUCUCUUUAAGAAUGAAAAUGAAAUAAGAAUAAAAGUCUGACAACAAGCUUUAUUCACUUCUAUGAAAACUGACACUGCAUAUUUCUGACAUUUACGAUACACAACAUGCAAAUGUCUAAAGAGGCCUGUACCAAACUACAGUGACCUUGGAGCUACAAUGCCUUUGGACCUCUGCUUGUAUCUUUGAAAGGUCAAAAUAAAUUGCUUCAUAACAUAAUCUAUAAUUCACAUACUCAAGCUGUAAGUGAGAUGCUAACUACCUCAAUCUAAUUGGCCAUUUUACACUCAAACACUCCUCACACUACAAUAAAAUGACUCUCAGUACAUGUUUGCAGCACUGUUAUUUACAUGUCGCUAAGGCAUUUACAUAAAAAAUCCAUGAGGCUGUUCGAAUGCCUCUUCUUGUACGUAGUGAAUAGAUGAGGGCUAUGUACCUAUAUGACCUGUCAAACAAGGUCAGCAUGGAAAUGCCCUAAUAAUAGUUUCUUGUACACUUUUUUGGUAGUGUCCAUUCCUUCUCAAUUUGAUACAACAACAACAACAACAACAACCAUUAAUUCAGACCACCAGCAAAAAUGUGGUGUAAAUUCCACCACAUGCUUAGCAUUAUUCAUUGUAAUAGAUAUUCAGAUCUGUAUGGCUGUCACUUCUGAGAUGUCAUUUUCAUCAUCGACUCAGAGAACGUCAUUACAGCUGUGUUUGAAGGCCAUCUGAAAAUGAGAAGGUGGAUCUAAACAAUAGCUGUUUUGUAUAUCACUGCUAAAGAACAGGGUUGGGGUUGGAAAUAUACAGGAAAAAUAGCGACCUACAUAACUAGCUAUAAAAAUGAGUUUUAGAACAUUUGCUAUACGCCAGCCAUUAUUGUUGCAAUUUGCCAGAAUUCUUAUGAACCAAGUACAUUUGGUAGAUAAAAAAACAUUUCUGAUUUUGAUGCAUUGUUACUGUGCCUUUGUAUCCAGUAUCUUUAUAUUUAAACAAGGUUUAAACCUUCACAGACCUAUCUGAAGAUAAUAAUUAAGGUAAUAAUGCUUCUGCAGCAUUGUACACUAUACCUUUGCUCUCUCACCCCCAGAAACGCUGCCAAGUCUGCUGCACGUCAAGUGAACUUUCGUGCACCCCGUCACUUGUCAGACACCGCUUUAUUGUGUAAGAAUAGGCGUAGUUGUAAGGGGCAAGCAUGUGUGUGUAUAUGUGUGUGUGGAAGAGAGAGAGAGAGAGAGAGAGUGAGAAAGAGUGAGAGAAAAGGUUUUGUUCUCAUUGAGGAGGCUCAGCCAUCUCCCCUCCCUGGACUAAAGUUGUCUGUAGCAGCUGCACCCCUGUGAUCUCCCCUAAACAGUGUGGGAGGGGGCAAGUGUGGGUACACGUCACCCCCCCACACACCCUCCCCUUUUAUAGAGGCCAAAGCUGCACACUUAAGCGACAACAUCCAUCAAAAGCCAAUAGAAGCCUGCAGGUCAAGCCUGAGAACACAACAGCGACCUCUGACCCCUGUUAAGUGAGCUGGCCUAACAAGACAUGACCGCUGACUCACGCUGGUUUAUUUGGUUUAUUUCACCAAUUAGAGUCCUGCAGGGGGGAGAGAUUGCAAAUGUGACAGCCUUCUGAUUGCAUGACAUGAACAAAAAAGCCUUUAUAAGCAUUUAAAAUAUGUUCAAGCUUGUAGUGAGACUCCUUGAUUACAUAGCCUCAAGCAACAAAUGCAUCUUAAAUAGUUAUCAGUGUCUGAGUGACAUUCUUCUCUAUAUUUUUAAAAUCUAAUGCAGAAUUUUGUAAAGACAUCACAAUGCUCCUCAAAUCCCCAAACUUUCAAGCUACAACUGCCUUGAGAUCUUUUUUUUCACCACCAAGUUGUCAUUAAAAUCAGCACAGUCAUCUUGUCAUUAAAAUACAAGUACAAGUACAAAACUACAAGUAGCCUAGUAAGCUACAACCUUCUUUCAUAAAGUUACCGAGGUUCAAAGCAGAAGGAUUGAGUACCUUCGUACACUGUUGAUGUUCACAGUAGGCUAACAUUUAGCCGAUACACAGCUAAUCACACAUGCUCUGUCAAAAAAAGGUGUUGUAGAGACAUAAUUUGUUGCCCAAAAUGCUAACACAGUUCCUUAUAGUCUAAUUAUCUACCUCUACAAUUUCAUUGUACUAAAGGGUGCAAGAAACCUCAAAUAGCCUGCGCACAAUCGUGACAGGAGGACAGUCGUAACAUGGUAACUAGCUUCUUCCUGUCACUGUGCACAUGCUUGAUAUUGUCCUUUUUGAGUGUGAUAAAUUUCAACCACAUGCACCUGACCUCUAUUAUGUUCUGGAUAGCUCCUUGUAUCUACUUGACCUUGAAAUUACACAUGUUAUUGUGAUCAUUGGACUGUCUUCUAAAAAAAAACCCAAACAUGACAGUGUGUACAAUUUGACAUUUUUGUAGCUGCUGUUUUUACUGUUAGUGUGUUAAAUACAAAAAAACAAACUUGUGCAUUGUGUAUAGCUUUGAAAGACACAGGACUCUUGCACUUGGUGAUCAAUUUCAAAAACGGAUUGAUGGCCUCUAACAGCUCAGAGGAAUAUUAAAAGAAGGGCACAAAUACAUGGCAGAAUUUAACUUCAGUUCUUAUAUCAUAUACUUGUUUACAGGCUUAGAAAUAUUUGUUACUGUUCCUGAAAUGAAGAUUGUAAAUGGUAAGCACUGUACACUUUGUGUUUACAUACGUACAUGUCAUGGAAAUUAUUCACUACGUCGAUACGUGUUGUUGGUAGAACCAAGAGAGAAAUAUUGAGUUUUAAAGAGUGAUAUAAUUAUUCCUACCUUUGUACCAUGAAAUGUAACGGUUCAUAAGUAUACACACACACACACACACACACACACACACACACACACACCAAGCUGAAAGCACAAUCUGAAAUGUUCUGCAAAAUAUAAUAAAGGUCUGUGCAUGUUUUUAUUCUGGGAUAUUAAUGUUUAAAAUGUCUUAGGUUGCAUGUACAUCAGUCAAGUCCAGAAUAAGCUCUUCAACUGUUUGGAUGCAGCACUAAACAUCCUUUUUUUUUUUCAAAAAAUUUUUUUAUCUGGGAAUUCAUUAAUGUUACACACAGUCGAUCUGAGAUGCUGAUGAACGAGCCCGUGCCUGCUUGCUCUCUCGCUCUCUCUCUCUCUCUCCCUCCACCGCCACCGCUACGAACUCAAACCCAACCGGAUGUCCCGCCCUCCCGAGCUCUACCUCGAUGAUGUAAGCCCCCCCUCCGUCCAAAUUUAGCACGUUGUUGAUGCCUCAGAAGUUUUUCCUCUGGCUGAGAGCGCUGUCCGUUACACGACGUCACCACUAUCCUGUUAUUAUUGUAAACAGUCUAGCCGUUUCUUUACCGAAGCCCCUCCACUGAGCGAAAAAUCGCCCCGCUUCUUUGUUCGCAAAGUCAGCCGGUAGAGAUGUUUUUUUUUAAAGCGAACUACACGGACUAUUUUAUUAGCCUAAUAAACCGCCAUUGGUAAUACAGAGGUUUGCAAACGAGCAACAUGUGUGAAAAAUGUGUAUUUCGAGAUUGUCGCCAGAGUAACCUAGUGCUGUUGUCCUCAGUUUGAAUGUGAGCUCUGAUUAAAGAAAAAAAAAAAAGAAAAAACCGGCACUUCGGUUUCGCACAGAAAAAAAAGCUUCCGCCGGUGACUGAAUACAAAAAGCGCACGGAUUUAAACACUCAAUGACAAAAUAAUAAUAAUAAUAACAAUGAAAUUGAGACUUACAGCAUUAACACCAGGGACUUCAUUUUCUCAAUCCUUUUGUGUCAGAGCGUAGCCUAUAACCUGCCACCAAACCCGAAUAAGCAAUAUUACUUUGGGGGAAAUAGCGCCAUUCUUCUUCUUCUUCUAUUUGUUUGUGGUUUUUUGUGUGUGUUUUAAAAAAAAUAUAUAUUAUUAUUACACCCAACAACUGUAAUGCACUCGCGCUCUCGUUGUUUACCUCCCCCGCUCCUGGAGGAAUUUUGAUAAGCUAGAUAAUGAGCCGUCGGUUUUACCCGGGAAACAACGCUGCAACUUUCAUCCUCAAACAUGAAGCCAGUGCAUGAAAACACACCUAUAUGUACAGUAGAUUUGUAAGGAAGCCCUACAACAAAGCGCGCUGGGUCGCGUUGCUCUAAUUCGAGACAAACGCGCAGCUACACUGAUAUACAGGCUGUGGAUAGAGGAGGAGAAAGGGGGGGGGGGGAAGGUUUGCGAUUGAAUAAUGAUACUUACUUCAGCGGUGGAUAGCAGCGCUAUAGGAUUCCCAUCACAUCGUAAUGUGCACAGGAGAGCACAUCAAAAUCACAAAUAAUAUUCCAGCAAACUGGCACACACCGGGCUCCGGUUAGCGCGCGCCAGUCGAGGCGGCUGUAUCUCUCUCUCUCUCUCUCUCUCUCUCCUUUACUCUCUCACUCUCUCUCUCUCUCUGUCUCUCUCUCUCUCUCUCUCUCUCUCUCUCUUUUUUUGCAAUUAUACGCCAAGCUUCAAGGAAGUUGUCCUUUUGUUCCAGCAUUUAUACAUUGCGUCAAUGUUGCGAAAAGAGGAGGCGGAGCGGUGGCACUUGGAGUAAAGAGAGAGAGAGAGAGAGAGAGAGAGAGAGAGAAUAAAACACACAAGCACACGACCUUAUGUACACAAACCCAGAAAUCCUCCACCCUAACAAAACCGGCGGAUCAGCUCGGGUCACGUGCUCCGGCGCUCGCACCAUGGUCUACGGCAAAGUUAGCGCGGAGGAGCAAAAAAAGCUCGCCCCUUUUUCCACUCGGUUUCGUGUAUACGGCUCACGGGAAGUGGGUAGACCAAGUGGCCCGGCAAUUCUUCACCAAUUCGCUCCGUGAUGGAAAAACUGAACGUGGUGAAAACGAGUGCGUGCGCGCGCGCGUGCGUGCGUAAGUGUGUGUGUGUGUGUGUGUGUGUGUGUGUGAGAGAGAGAGAGAGAGAGAGAGAGAGAGCGCGAGCCGGUGUGUGUUGGCUGUCAGCACAGAGCGCGCGCACCCUGCCGUAGCAAAACCGAUGGUUCAAUGCGCGGAGAGAAAACGCUUCCUCCGUUUUCAUGAUGUCUGUAUUUGCUGUUUGAAGUAGUAGAGAAUGUAGGCUAUUAAAUGCUACUCAUUGGGUUGCCCUAUAGCUCGCUAUUACAGCCGAGUUGCAUCACGAAGUUUGCUUACCGGCUCUGCUGUCAAUCAUUUUUUUCUGGCUUCACGCGACGACCAAUAAACGCUGCUGCUUGUCCUUCAGCAUGGGUCCCUGGUGGUGCAGGCCUAUAAAACCCACACAGCCCAUCUCUGUAGAGGUCAUCUGAGCUUUGGUGUCACCUGUCAGUCGAUGUAGGUGUAUCUGUUCCCUAACACCCAGGGGACGACAAGUCCAUUAAUGCCUUAUUGUGUGCAUGUAUAAGGUAAACAAAACCCGUACACCCUGGAAAGAGUAUGAACUUCCAUAUUCCAGGCUACAUGUCCGCAUCAACAAGUAAUUUUUUUAUGCUGUUUUAGACAAGCUGAUACCAAUGUUAGGAAUGAGUUGGACGCAUGAGCAGAUAAAUAGCUCAUAGGCUACUCUCGGAAAUAAAGAUACCUAACUGCACUUUUCCUUGUUGAAGGAACGGUACAUCAGCCGUAC
Ictalurus punctatus (channel catfish) is the source of this 8567-nucleotide long non-coding RNA. The record is from Ensembl. Lineage: Eukaryota; Metazoa; Chordata; Actinopteri; Siluriformes; Ictaluridae.